GGAGUCUGGGCCGUGUCUCAGUCCCAAUGUGGCCGGUCAACCUCUCAGUUCGGCUACUGAUCGUCGCCUUGGUGGGCCGUUACCCCGCCAACAAGCUAAUCAGACGCGGAUCCAUCCUUCACCGAUAAAUCUUUUCCGGCUGAGUCAUGCGACUCCGUCGGCUUAUGCGGUAUUAGCAGCCGUUUCCGGCUGUUGUCCCCCUGUGAAGGGCAGGUUAUCCACGCGUUACUCACCCGUCCGCCACUCGGAAAAGUGAAAUCCAUCCGAAAAUUUCAUUCACAGUUCCUCGUUCGACUUGCAUGUGUUAAGCACGCCGCCAGCGUUCAUC
This 328-nucleotide ribosomal RNA is filed under the name uncultured Lachnospiraceae bacterium. RNAcentral's name for it is "partial 16S ribosomal RNA". The record is from RNAcentral. Lineage: Bacteria; Bacillati; Bacillota; Clostridia; Lachnospirales; Lachnospiraceae.